This 375-nucleotide ribosomal RNA is filed under the name Polyschismium chailletii. RNAcentral's name for it is "SSU rRNA". It matches the Rfam family "Eukaryotic small subunit ribosomal RNA", at positions 76 to 405 of the family's 1831-position model. The record is from RNAcentral. Lineage: Eukaryota; Evosea; Eumycetozoa; Physariida; Didymiaceae.
UCUCUCUGAAUCUGCGAACGGCUCCGCAAACCAGUUGUAAACUAUAGCAAGCAAUCCUGCGGGUGGCUUCGGCUGCUCGUGGGUAACAUGGAUAACCCUGGUAAUUCUGAGGCUAAUACAAGAACGUACUCCCUGGCUGACCGGCAACGGAAGGCUGGGGAGCGUGCAACGUAUCGUAGGGAUAAACCGGGAAUGGGUGCACGCUUGGACCGCGCUAAAGACAGAUCUCGGCGAGCCUUCGGGUGAGCCUUGGCCUGAGCGGCUCUUGCUGUGUGCUUCUGACCUAUCAACUAGACGGCAGCGUAAGGGACAUGCUAUGGUUACAACGGGUACAGAGGAUUAGGGUUCGAUCCUGGAGAGUGGGCCUGAGAGAUU